CCGAAGGUCGUGCCUCGUGCACCUUCAGCUCAAGGGGUGUCCAAGCGCCAGCCAGCUUCGCCUGCCUUCUGGGAGGAGGUCACAGAUACGGAGCUGGUUGCCAUCUGCGACGUAGCCCCUCCCACUAACGACUGAGUUCCUUGAACGUGGUAAGCCGGUCCUGUACAGUUCCCUCAUGUCCAACAGCGCUCCCAACCAACGGCUGAACCGGCAAAGCAGCCUUCGCAAACGCAACCAGCACAGAGUGCUGAGGUGCUUCUUCCUGAAGCAUGGAAGCAGUCGCUGCCCAAGGAGCAGCAUGAGUGGAUCGCCAGGGCACUGUUCAUCAGGAACAGGAUUGGGAAGCUGGAGCUGACCUCGGACCUGCGUCUGUGGUGGUUCCCUCCCCAGCCCCGGCUGAUCCACA
Molecule: long non-coding RNA, 406 nt
Organism: Acipenser ruthenus (sterlet)
Lineage: Eukaryota; Metazoa; Chordata; Actinopteri; Acipenseriformes; Acipenseridae
Exons: 5
Source: RefSeq, a predicted model, not a curated record